This is a non-coding RNA of Prunus mume (Japanese apricot), 1060 nucleotides long. The record is from RefSeq and is a predicted model, not a curated record. Lineage: Eukaryota; Viridiplantae; Streptophyta; Magnoliopsida; Rosales; Rosaceae.
AACGCAGUCAAGUUUCGGCUGCUUCGUCGCCUCCUUGUUCGGCACCGAAAAAUGACCCAACCCGCCUAGGAGGCCCGCCUAUUCGCCUAGCCACCUAUCGCCCGCCUAGCCGCCUAGCCGUCCCCCUAGCCCCAUUUUUUGAACACUGCGAUUGACUGGAAGUUUGAAACCCGAAAUUGAAAAAGUUUACCUGCAAAUUUGAGCUUGAGAUUGAGAUUUGGAAGCCAAAGCAAGCACAAGUCAUGGGAACCCUAAAUACAAAAUUUGCUGACUUGGGGAUUAUUUCCUGUCUUGUUGAUUGAGUUGAUGGAUUGUUGUUUUUCUGGGGGCUGAUGAGAACACUCAGACUAAUGGAGGAAAUGAACUUAUUUUUCCAGUUUAUCCAGUCCUUCCAUGCAGAGAUACAAUGCAGCGCUCAAGAACAAAUUCCUGUGAUCUUCUUGCCCAGCUUCCUUCUUCUCUGUCCUUAGACUCUGGGAUUUAUGCACAUCCAUUAAUAUCAAACCAGCCCAUUUGGUUGAACUCAUCUUCUAACAGAGAUUCAAGUGCCAUGGCAGAAAGAGAUGGGACCAGAGUUUUGGUUCCAAGUGCAGAGGGUUGAUUGAGCUGUUUGUCUCCAAAGAUAUAUCUGAUGACCAACAAUUGAUUGAUUAUGUCACAGCCCAAUGCAACAUUUCACAGGAGCAAGACACCCUGCUUGGUGUUGGCUGCAAUACAAGCUUCCCUGUCAAUAUAAAUGACAUGAGCACUGAAAUACAGCCACAGCCCUUUCCAGGCAAUGAGAAUUAAGGAAAUGAUCAUCUAAACAGUAAUCAUGUCCAGCAGCUGCCUGUUGUUUCCCCAGUGGAUCAUGAUUCGAAUGUGCCAUACAAUAUAUCAGUUGAUCGAAUCCUUCUCUCCAGCACGUCUCCGAUGAAUGUCCUGCAACAUGUCACUUACAACUCAGAGAACAGAAUGAAGAAUGUCCUUGUUCUUGUGAGAAUUGAUAAUGCCCUUGUAUUUGAUAGAGGUCAUGUGUUGAGCUGAACACGAAUGACCAUCAAAAAUUUCAUCUUUUCUA